Molecule: small nucleolar RNA, 130 nt
Organism: Sorex fumeus (smoky shrew)
Lineage: Eukaryota; Metazoa; Chordata; Mammalia; Eulipotyphla; Soricidae
Product: small nucleolar RNA SNORA61
Exons: 1
Source: RefSeq, a predicted model, not a curated record
AUCCUUCAAUUCCAUUUACUAUUGGAUCUGAAUACAGGUCUUUGUGGUCAUUAAUGGAGGAACAGUAAUACUGAAACUAGCUUCACAGUCUCAGAGUCAAUCAUGAGCACAUGGCUAGUUUCAAACAAGG